GACAUGGAGCUGAGUUAUUCGGAUCUUAAAAGGCAGGAGCAUGGGCCACGUAGACAUGGUGGAGAUGUAGGUGGGCCAGCAAUGGCUGGACCGAAUGGACCAGAUGGAGGGAAUGGACCACCUAAUGGGAUGAAAUUCCCUCCUCCUGGGGCCGGGAGUAGUCGGAGAUGGUUAGAUGAGGUGGAGGGUUCGUCCGCAUUGUUGUUCAAUACGUGUAAUGAUCUGGAACAUCCGUUUAUCAAGUAUAUCGCUGAUCAGACUGAUAAACCGGUCUACGGUGUGGGCCCGCUCUUGCCCGAAAAGUACUGGAAAUCAAGCGGUUCAAUUUUACAUGACGGUGAGUUUAGAUCAAAUCGGAAGUCGAAUUACACAGAAGACCAGGUGGUUCAAUGGAUGGAUUCAAAACCACAUCAGUCCGUGAUUUACGUGUCAUUUGGUAGUGAAGUUGGGCCUAGCUUGGAGGAAUACGCGGAAUUAGCCCAUGCAUUAGGGGAGUUGAACCGACCGUUUAUAUGGGUGAUUCCACCGAAUUCGGGAAGAGCCGGUCCACCACCUGGUCUUAUAGGUGAUGAAUACGGUUCACAAACUAAAGAAGAAGGUUUCUAUCCACAUGGGUUGGAAGAGAAUGUCGGUGACAGAGGAUUGGUGAUAAAUGGAUGGGCACCACAGCUGCUAAUUUUGAGCCAUCCAUCUCUUGGUGGAUUUUUGUCUCAUUGUGGAUGGAAUUCUACAGUUGAAUCCAUUGCCCGGGGAGUCCCAAUUUUGGCUUGGCCAAUCAGGGGUGACCAAUUUCAUAAUGCCAAAUUGGUCGUAAAACAUUUGAAGGCGGGGCAUAUGUUGCGGACAGGUGAUGAUCCAAAAGAAAUGGUCAAAAAGGAUGGCAUUAUCCGAGGUAUUGACCUUCUGCUGGAUGACAAAGAGGUUCACAAGCAAGCAGUGGCGGUAAGAAGCAGAUUCAAGAAUGGUUUUCCAGCAAGUUCAGUGGCUGCUUUGAAGUCCUUUCUUGAAGCUAUAGUCAAGAAGAAUUAAGCAGAUUAUCGAUAUGAAGAGACGGAUCAUAUGAGCAUUUGUAAUAUCUAUUGGUUUGACAGAUUGAUAAUGGACUGCCCAAGAGAGUAGUAUAUUGCAAAUUGUCUGCCACACAGCUAUCUGUCUUUUCUUUGUUUUUUUGGUGAAAUCUGUCUUUUCCUUGUGUUGGGUAGAGGGGCCUGCCCAUUCUGAUAUCGCCGAGGGGCGUGGGGCUGAUAACUUUCCGGGCUUGAUUUGUAGGCUUGUAUAGAUGACACAGAAGCAACCGAGAAAGAAAUAUACGAUCUUCUUUCGAAAUGUUUCAAGAGAAAAAAAAAAAAAGGAAUAAAACGCACUCAAGAGAAAAAUUGAUUAAAUCGAUCAAAUUAUUAUUAAAAGCGAAAUACAUACCCUAGCUACGAACUUUUCAUAGGCGAGGUACACUUUUUGUUUGAAUUAUCAUUUUCUUCCAAAAAUUUUUACAUUUUUCGUGAAUCCAUCGUCCAAUAACUUUUUUAUCUUAUAUAUAUAAAACCUCCGCAAUAUGUUUUUUAAUAAUAACCUCUAGAAAAUAGCAAUCUAAACUAGCAAUAAACCCAAAAUACUAAUGACGAGUCAUAUUUAUGGUCAAAUGAUCUAACACUGAAUCACUUAAAUAGAACCAAACCAGAGACAAUCCAGCUUGUGAUCCAAACAAAAGAGUCAAGAGACAAUCCAACUCGUGAUUCAUUGAUGUUUUCUCUGGCAACCCAAAGCGGUUUAGGACGGAAGCAACUAAAAAAAUAAAUAAAAUUAGUAGAACCUAGAUCAAUUUAUUACAGCUACCCUAAAUAUUUUCAUGGAAAACUUUAUUGCAUGUUGUUAGGCCCCAAAUAAUUUUUUGUUACAGCUACCCUCUGUGUGUGUGUGCCUCCAUUUAUCUGAUUUACCGUCUAGGAAUGGUGUGAUUUUUUUUUUUUUUGGUUACCAUCUUGUUAUUUAACAUUUUGACAUUGAGGAGGAGCAAGUGGCUAGGAUUGAAAAGCGAAUCAAGCUGCUCGAUACUCAAAUCGAGUUCUGCUCAAUUACGAGUUUGUUUGAAUUUGAUUCACUAACUAAUCAAAUCAAAUUGUGACGAUAUUUUUUAUUUUAUAAACUUUUGAGUUCAACUCCAUUAGCAUAAAAGUAAAAUUUUACAUAUAAAAUAUUCAAAUUACUCGAUCUCAAACUCAAUAAAAGUUUGUUCGAAUUUGGUUCGAAAAAUAAACAAGUCAAAUUUAAACAAAAUAAUCAACCAAACUUAAAUAGAAGAAUAUUUGGUUUGUUUAUAUUCGUUUACACUCUUACUAGUGGCAAGAUUCAAUUAGUAUCCUAUUCGUGAAUAUGCAAUUUAUUUUGGCCCCAUGAUGGCCUACACAUCUUAAUAUCUUAUCUCCAAGUUUAAUAUUCUUCAUUGUUCACAUCCUCUGAGGCAUCAUUCACCAUUCUUUACAAAUUCCUUUCUGCAUUCAGUGCUAAAGCUCUCACGACUCUCAAAUAUCAGAACCAAUCUAAACGCAUGACAACAACUAAAGAGAUUUUUAUUAUUACAUUUUCUGGUUGUGGUCACCUUUUCCCUUGCAUAGAACCAUACAAACACCUCUCCUCUAGAAACUUCAAGGCCACCCUUGUACUCCCUUCCAACCUCUCCUCCUCCGCUCCCUCCUCCUUCAACCACCACCCUCUCCUCGUCACAGCCGACCCUUCUCUAGACACAACAUGGCCCAAGAGCAAGUGGGCCUGGACCUUGAGGCCCACUUGAGUAGUAGGUCCACUGGCCCAGAUUCAGCCCAUCUAGUGUGUGCCAUAAUCGACUUUCCAAUGGACUGGAUCAAAUACAUUAUUUGGGAGCAUAAUGUCCCUAUAGUCAACUUCUUUACUUUCGGCAUGUGUGCAGCUGUCAUGGAGUAGGGCGCGUGGAAAUCCCAAGCUAAAGCAGGUAGUCGGGGUGAGGUGCACACCAUCCCUGACUUACUAGAGGUUAUGCAUCAUACAUACUCCGAUUUCACGCGCCAUCCUAAACGGGUUCCAUGUACUGGCUGUUCACCUAGACGGGGUGAUCAACCAUCGUGGAUGCCAUUAAUAAAAGGUUCAAUUGCUUUGAUGUUCAACACGUGUGAUGAUCUGGAGCAUCCAUUUAUCGACUACGUGGCUAAUCAAACGGCCAUGCCAACUGACAUUUGCCGUGGGGCCAUUCCUGCAUGAGAAAUUUUGGGUGCCAACCAAGUCAUUAAUUAGUGAAACCCAAAUUAGACAGCCCAAGCACCAAAACAACUGUAGUGAAGAGCUAGUAGUGCAAUGGUUGGAUACAAAAUCGAGCAAAUCCGUCCUAUAUGCAGCCUUUGGUGGUGAAGUGGAUCGUACGGAAAAGGAAUGUACCCUGUUAGCAUGGGCUUUAGAAAAGUUGACCCACUCUUUCAUUUGGGUCAUUCGAUCAGGGUCGAGUUCAGGCCACCCAAACGUGGAAGGCAAAUUUAGUGACAGGGGCUUGAUCAGAAGAGGAUGGGCACCCCAACUAUUGAUAUUAAGCCGUCCAUCAAUAGGUGGAUUUUUAUCACAUUGUGGUGGAACUCAACACUUGAGGCCGUCUGCAUACGGGUGCCCAUAUUGGCAUGGCCCAUUAGGGGCGAUCAAAUUUUGAACGCUAAAUUAAUGGGCAUGGUGAAGAUUAUGAGUGAUGAAGAGGUUCACAAAAAUGCAGCAAUUCUUUGUUCUAAAUUUUGUUAUGGUUUUCCAAGUAGCUCCAAUUUUGCAUUUGAUGCUUUUACGAAUUUUAUUGAACAAAGUUUAGUUGAAAAUUACUGGCGAAUACCUUUAUUGUUCAACUGUAUGAUAAGUCUUUUGCUGAUAUUUCCUAUGUUAAGUCAUUUUCUUGCUAUGAAUUUUUCAGUUCUUUCUUGAUAAGCAUUAAGUAGACGACCACGAGUUUGGCUUGAUUAGAAUCUGUUUAAAAUGUAUCUUUAAACUAACCAAACAAAGUCUAAACCUACAAUUUCGAGUUGAAUACAUUUUAAGAUCGACUCUAGUAAAAUCUUGUUUACGUUUUGCUUGGUUAAUAAUCAAGCUGAAUUUUUAUUAUAUUUUAAGUUCUUUUAAAUAAUCCAUCCAAACUUGAACAUUAUAAUGUCAGCAUUGAAUAUUUCUUAUUUUCUUUAGCCCCAUCAAUAUAUAUAUACUUACAGUGAAUUAAAGAUUAAUUCAUUAAUUCAUAAAUAAAUGGCAUGCCACAUUUCUUGUGGAUUUGCCUCUCCAAAUUGGCUAGAGGGACCUCUGACCUAAAUGAAACUUAGGGCGGUGUAGUUGUAGUUUAGUUUAAUAAAAUACAAGAAGAUGAUGAGGCCACUGAAAUUAUUACAACAAAAGAUGAUAUAAUUGAAGCCAUUGAGAGACUAAUGAGUGAUGAAGAAUUUCAUGAGAGAGCAAAAGCACUACGCAACAAAGUUUUUAAGCAUGGUUUCCCUGCUAGCUCUCUGGCUUGUUUUAAAGCUUUAAGAGAUUUCAUUAGCCAAACUGUGCCUUAAUUAGAUAUGUUAUGAAUCAAACAGUGAAAGUAUAUACAUGAUCAGUGUAUAUAAAAUUACUCUAAAUUAAAUAGGUAUUUUGCUUUAGAAUGCAUGAAAAAGAAAGUUAUUUCAGAGCUUUUGAAAUAAGCUGAGUAUGGACCUUGGGUCAAUUUCGGUUGUCGAAUAAAUGGAUUUUAUUCUUCUUCAGAUUUAAUUCAGUAUGAAGUUGUACUACCAGUUGUUUCAUUAAGUCGUAACUCUACCUAUUAAAACUAAAAACAAAAACACACACAAAGUGACUCUUUAGUGUUUAUACAUGCAAAGCAAACUUUUGGAAUUAUAUAUUUGAAUUACCAAAAAUAUAUUAAAUAUGUUAUUGUGCACUUAAUCAAAUAAGUGAGUUCUUAGGGGAGAGAUGAGUUGGUUGAUUCGAAGGGAAGAAGUGUAAGUGAGAGGUUCCAGAUUUAAACCCUCCCACCUACACAUUUUAUUACAAAAAAAAAAAAAAAAAAAAGAGUCUCAGAGGUGGGGAGAGGAGGGAUGAGUUGGAUGGUUCCAAAAGAAAGAGUGUAAAUAAGAAGUUUUGCAUUCGAACCCUCCUGUUGAAACUAUUAAAAAAAACUGAGUCCAAAAUCCAGAUUACACAAAAUUGCUAGCCCACCUGGCACCAUUUUGGUCGAAAAUAUUGCGUUUGUUAGUAGGGCUGUAUAAAAUUCAUAUGUAUGUAUAAAAUUUAUAAAAUAAUGCAUAAAAUCUAUAACUAUACAUAUUGUAAUCUAACAAAUUAAUGUUGUACAUGAUUAUAUAAUAAUACAAAAAUGAAACAUAUAACAUAUAUAAUUAUGUAUUAAUUGUGAACUUGGACUAAACCUAAUACAGACCCAAAACCCUAAUAUAUUUGUGAGUUGAAUAUGAACAUUAGAAUAUAAGUUUAAAACCCGAAAUUCAAAAUUUCGAAAAUCUUUUUUUCUUUUGUGAGGUUUUGCCAAAACUCGACUCAUAAAACCCAAUUGAAAGUCGUACUUGUUAGCUGUUAUUCAUAUCAAUCAUCAAGCCAAUGCCAAAUCUCGUGACUUUGAAAUUUCCUAUAAUAUGGUUAAUCAGUAAUCCUAUCAGAUUCUAAACCAUACUUAACAAGAAAAGGUAUACUUGUCACUCCAAACCAUGAUAUCCUAUUCUACAAAGAAAACUUUGAUCCUUCUUGAACACAGUUUUUUUUAUCAAAGUUGUUGCCGGACAUCUUUGUCUCAAUUGAAUGCUGCAAGUGCAAGAUUGUGUAUAGAUCCUGUUGACCAAAAAACUAUCUCAUUUCCCUUGCCCUCACUCCUUUACUCAUGACGUGUGUGCUUACCCAACCUUCCAUUGUUUUAUUACUUAGCUGUGUGUAGCAUAUGUGAAUACCCUACAACGACUAAUGCCAAUUUAAUUUGGAUCCCCUCUGUGUCAAUUUUUGCUUCCCAACUAAGGUGUCGUUUUAAUUGCUAUUUUUUAGAGUUUUUGCAAAAAUUGUAUUGUAACAAUUUGAUAUAUAUGAGAAAAAAAAUAUGAUUAAAAAAUGUAUUGAGGAAAAAUUUUAAAAAUUUUCUUUAAAAAAUAGCAAUCCACUUAAGGCCUAAGACUCUCGGAUUGUCUUGUAUCCAAGAAAGGCGAAGUCUCCCAAUAAUAUUGGACUGGUUGCUUGAAAACCAAAAUAGAGAGCUGUAAAAGUAUGAUAAACCACGGUCCAAAGUAUAAUGACUAAUGGCUGUCUUGACUUCUGUGUUCUUCUUAAUAGAAAAUUUUUCUUUUCAAACGGGUUUUUAAUUUUCUACAACAGGAGAAAUUGUCCAUAAGCCUUAAGAGAAAUUUUUACCUCCCUUAAUCCUACUUUCUUUUAAAAAAAAAAUUCAGAUUAUCAACAUCCCUAGCCAUGGAAAAAUACAAAGGGGUGCACACCUAUGUUGACAUUAGUGACAAUAAAAUCUCCCGCAUAACACUUUCACUUUUUUAAAGUGAUAAAUUUAAAAAAUAAAAAGAGAAGAGGGUAACAUACGUACCAGAUUAUGAACUCUAUUGAUUUAAUGAAAGAGGGAUUAUUAUAUAAAUUUUUUUUUUUUUACACUGACAGUUUAUAUACUGUUGGCAUUAGAUGAAUGAUAACUAUGUAAAAUUUGAAUUUGAAAUUUAACAUUUGCAUAUUUGUCAUGGAUCUAACGAUAAUAAUGUAUACACUGUCAGUGUAUAUAAUAUUUACUCUGAGGAUAUAAGCAAAGAAACUUUUAAUCACUUAAACCACAUCGUAUUCUCGAGUUGAUUCUAUUCUAUCUGUAAUCUAAUAUAUCAAUAUCCCCUGUUCACAGAUGACAUUUGUGUGUAUACGUUUGUCGCUGUCCGUUUGCACGCAAACGUACCGAUAAAUCUUCUAAAUUACUGCGUCUUUUUCCAACCAAACACCUUAGGAUACCAAGUGUGUGAAAAAGUGUAAACCCUAAAUUUUGUUAUCCUCUGCAUUGGCUCCAACUAUCCAUGUCCCUUUUCUAACUGCCCAAAAACAAUUUGAAACCCAAUGCAGAUAGAAGAUUUAACAUAAGCAUAUUUGGAGGAAGUUGCUAAAAUGGAAGCUAGAGGAGAAAUUUUGGUUGUACCAUUUUUUGGGCAAGGCAAUUUUUUUCCCAUGCAUGGAGUUAUGCAAGCAUUUCUCAUCUCAUAACUACGUACAAAGCCAUUCUCAUGAUAUUCAAGUUGGCUUUUGAAAUAAGCUGAGUAUGAAGUUUUACUAUCAAUUGUUUCAGUCAGUGGUAACUCAUACUGAAAGUCUAAUGAGCUUGGAAGCAACUUAUUAUGCUUAAGCUUGGAUUAUUCAUUCCCCUUUAUCUAGUUAUAAAAGGGCAAAACGUAAAACAGAAAGGGACUGUUCAAGUGUCUGUACAUGCAAGGCAACUUUUUUUACAUUAAUUAAUUUCAUUUUAAGUUAAAUUUGCGUCAAAUUUAGACCUCAAAUGAAUAAGAUUUUGUUAAUUGAUUUCUACCUCUAAUUGAUAUGGUAUUGGUUUUAUUGUCCUUAUUAAAAAUUAAAAAUGGAAUGUAAAAUCAUGCCAUGUGUGAAUUUCUUUCCUUUUUGGCAAUACAGAUUCAAACUACUAACAAUCUUUUGAAAAAAAAAAAAAGUUACUGUAACAAUCUUUCAUUUUUUCAGUCUUUUGAAAAAGGUCAUUGUACACAGUUCAAAUCACUGAGCCCAGGAGUCCACAAAAUUGCCGGGCAUCCCGCUUGGUACCCUUUUGGUCCAAUCUAAUGCCACUUUUUCAGUCUACGACUUCAAUUCCAAUCGUAACAAGUUUCACUUAAACACAAAAAAAAAAAAAAAAAAGUGAGUUAUAAUAUGUGUGUUUUGAUAUAAAAUUAUCUCAAAUAUUGUUUUGCUUACAUUUAUAAACAUAUUUUUCAACCCACUCUUUUAUAUUCACAAUUAUUUUUUUAUUUUACAUACACCAUAUCACAAAAAAUAUUAUAAUAAUUAUUUCAAAUAAUAUCCUAUCCAAACACUGCACAGAUAUAUCUGCUUCUCUCACGGUCCAAUCAACUUACUCAGUAAAAUGCCACCAUGGAGUAUAAUUGGCUUAUUUGGGAAUGCAAAUAUCAUAAUAUUGAGUAUUUUAGGUGUUAUUCCAAUCAAUCAUCGAGCCAAGGCAAAAUCUUGUGACUUGAAAUUUCCAAUAUAAUGGUUAAUUAGUCAUCCUAUCAGAUUCUAAACCAUACUUUAACCCGAAGAGAUAAAGGUUGCCACCCCACUCCACAUGAUAUCACUAUUUAAUAAAGGAAAAUUUGAUUCUCCUUCAUUGUUUCUUUUCUUCAACGGUCGACGACAUUUAUCCUAUCAUAUUCUAAAGAGAAAGGGAAUCCAACUAAGUUGUAUAAGAAGUUAAAAGGAAAGAUAAACUCAUCUAGACUAAAUGAAUACUCUGACACAUCAAAACGUGGGGUUUAAAAACUUCGACUUGUGACUCAAAAUACGAUUUUAAAACCCUUUUAGCGGCCAACUUGUGCGAGACAGGUUGGUUUGACGCUCCUUCAUUACAGUUGAUGAAAGUUGCCGGACAUCUUUUGAAUGCUGCAAAUGCAAGAUUGUGUGGACGCGUUGACUGUAAAACAAUCAGUUGCCUUGGCCCUCACCCCUUCACUCAUGACGUGUGUGCUUACCCAAGUUUCCGUUGUGCUAUUACUUAGCGGUGUAUUGCUCACGUGAAUUCCCGACACCGACCAACGUCAAUUCAAUUUGGAUCUUGUCCGUGUCGGUUUUUUUGCUUAGCAACUAAGACUCUGGGAUUGUCCCGGAGCAUCCAAGCAACGCAAAGUCUCCCAACUUAUUGGACUGGUAGCUUGGAAACUAAAAUAGAGCACGUGCACGCGUGAGCUUUCUUGAAAUUGUGAUAAAUCAUGGUCUAAAAUAUAAGGACUAAUUGCUAUUUGGAUUUCAAUUAUCCGCUAAUAUAGUCAUAUUUUUUUCUCAACAAAAAAAAGAUUAAUCUUUCCUACAUUAACAGUAUAUUUAUUGUUAGUUUUGAAUGAAUGACAACUAUGCAAAAUUUGAAUUUGAAAUCCAACUUUUACAUAUGUGUCAUGAAUUUAACAAUGAUAAUGUACACAGUAUCAGUGUAUAUAAAAAAUUCCAUUUCAAAUGGGGUUUUAAUUGUUUACAACAGAAAAAAUUAUCCACAAGCCUUAAGGGCAACUUUUAUCUGAUUACCUCCCUUUAUCUUCCUUUUCUUUUAAAAAAGAAAAAUAUCAAAUUAUCGACAUCCCCAGCCAUUGAAAAAUGUAAAAGCAGUGCCGUUGCCGUGUUAAUUUUAAUCUAAUUCGUAAUCUAUAUAAAUUACUACUAUAUCAAUCGCCUGUUCACAGUUGACACAUGUAUGUAUAUGCUUGUCACUGUCCAUUUUUUUUGCUAAAACGUAACGAUAAAUCCUCCAAAAUACUACACUAAUGUUGCAUCCCUUUCCAACCAAACAGUCAAACCUAAGUACACUAACUGUGCGAAAACGUAUAAAUCCUAAAAUUUGUUAUCCUUUGCUUUGGCUUCAAGUUUCCGUGUCCUCCUUGUGUUCUAUAAAUACCCAAAAACAAUAUGAAAUCUUUGCAGGUUGAAGAUUUAACAUAAGCAUAUUUGGAGGAAGUUGCUAACAUGGAAGCUAGAGGAGAAAUUUUGGUUGUACCUUUUUUUGGGCAAGGCCAUCUUUUCCCAUGCAUGGAGUUAUGCAAGCAUUUCUCAUCUGAUAACUACAAAGCCAUCCUCAUCAUCCCUUCUCAUCUAUCUUCAUCUGUUCCCUCCUCUGUCAGGGGACUUUCUUUGGUUGAAGUGGUUGAAAUUCCCAACUCACCUUCAUCAUCUCCACCGCAUCCUCCGCUGCCGCCACCAUCGGAGAUGACAACACCACCACCACCAGCAUUACUGCCUGAACUGCUAGAUGGAUCGAGACCCGGACCCGGAUUUGGGCCAGGACCCGGCCCACUUCGCCAUCACCAUCAGCAAAUGGGAAGUGGACUUGAAGCAUACCUUUCUCAAAAGUGUGGGGAGUUGGGUCAGACCCGACGCGUUUGUGCUGUGCUUGAUGUGAUGAUGAGCUGGAGCAAAGAGUUUUUUGUGAAGUUUGAGAUACCGACAGUUUCUUUUCUUACUUCUGGUGCUUGCUCUGCUGCUAUGGAAUAUGCUGGUUGGAAGGCUCAGGUGCGUGAUAUGAAACCAGGUGAGAUCCGAAAGUUUGAUGGGUUACCGGAAGACAUGGAGCUGAGUUAUUCGGAUCUUAAAAGGCAGGAGCAUCAUGGGCCACAUAGACAUGGUGGAAAUGUAGGUGGGCCAGCAAUGGAUGGACCGAAUGGACCACCGGGUUGGAGGAGAUUUGGCAGACCAGAUGGAGGGAAUGGACCACCUAAUGGGAUGAAAUUAGGUCCUCCUGGGGCCGGGAGUAGACCGAGAUGGUUAGAUGAGGUGGAGGGUUCGUCCGCAUUGUUGUUCAAUACAUGUAAUGAUCUGGAACAUCCGUUUAUCA
RNAcentral lists this long non-coding RNA (10555 nucleotides) under Coffea arabica (coffee). Its description in RNAcentral is "long non-coding RNA (CARA_LNC005562)". Lineage: Eukaryota; Viridiplantae; Streptophyta; Magnoliopsida; Gentianales; Rubiaceae. The record is from RNAcentral.